AUUCUCGAUUUCUGACUUGCCGAUAAGUUCUUACUUGUUUUGGUGAAGUUAAAGUAUAAUCGGUUCAAGUUUGUGGCCGUCCAUGUUGAAGUACCCGCUUCCAUACGAUGUAUAAAUUAAAUUUUGUUGGACUUUUGUUGGAUGUAUCGGACAUUAAAAUUUUUAUUUGGUGUUA
Long non-coding RNA from Salvia splendens (bonfire salvia), 175 nucleotides. RefSeq lists it as uncharacterized. The record is from RefSeq and is a predicted model, not a curated record. The transcript has 2 exons. Lineage: Eukaryota; Viridiplantae; Streptophyta; Magnoliopsida; Lamiales; Lamiaceae.